RNAcentral lists this long non-coding RNA (3395 nucleotides) under Triticum aestivum (bread wheat). RNAcentral describes it as "long non-coding RNA (TAES_LNC018376)". Lineage: Eukaryota; Viridiplantae; Streptophyta; Magnoliopsida; Poales; Poaceae. The record is from RNAcentral.
GUUCAUAAGAUCAUGAUUAACGAUAUAGGAAAAUAUCUUACACCAACACAGUUUGCACGGCUAUGCAAUGGAUGAUUCAAUUGAAGUUGCCCUGUCCAUCUAAUUGGUCCAGCACGCCAAAUCCAAAACUAUGCUUAAUCACUCAAUGACUUAUCACAUGUAUCUAUGGUUGUAAGCAUGUACUUUUAUACAGCUGAGCUCAAAACCAAACCCAAACUUCAUACCAUAUAAUCAAGCCAUAGUGAUCCCCCCGACAACAAGUUCAUUACAAUGGAUAGAAGUCUAAUACAUCAAAAGCAGAGCAGUAUAAGAAACUUAUAUGGUUCGGCUAUGACAUAACAUCAGACUACAUAUAUAUGGAUAGAGAUAGUUUGGUCUGACUGCUUUGUCGCCUGACUCUGCGUUGUAAAUACCUGUUGAUGGACAUAUCCAUUGAGUGUGCCAUAUGGACAUCAUCACAGUAAGAAUACAGUUCUUUUACUGACCCUUAUGUACAACAAGAUUUAGUCAUCCGACAGAUGAGUAACUCCUUGACCAGAGCUAAGAGCUAGUAUCAAUUUCACCUUGACCAGAUAUGCGCAAUACCAAUAUAACUGAAAAUGAAGCACAAAGAGACACCUAACUUUCAGAGGUGACAUUACCUUGUUCUGCAAACUAUAAUGGUCAGUCUAGUUUGAGAAGUGUUCAAGAUUGUUCUACAAACUCAUGCCAGCCUUCCUACUCCACAGAACUAUUAGAAAGUUUUGGGGAUCACCACAUGAAUAGUUCUCCAUGUUAAUAUGUUAUUCUCUAGGCUCAACCAAGCAUUAACUGAAAUAACAGCUGCAGAGACAAAAACAAAUUAUAAUGAGCUCCUAGUUAAAAAAAUCUGUCUCAAGUAUCUUAGCAUGAUCCAAAAUGUCUGAAUAAAAAAAAUCUCAAACUGGGAACAAGAAAAGGAUAACCUACAGCUAGAUAAUCGAUUGAAUAGAUAAACUAUGUAGUAUCAGAACUACCAUAGAAAGGGUAAAAGGAAAUGUAUAAAAUCCUAAUCAACUAAUUCACACUGUGGGCAUGCUAUGAGUGGAGGUGCAUAUACGGUAACUUCCAGGACAAAUGAGCAUAAGGGAAACAUAAUGAAAUUCAGAGACAUAUGCAAAUCAUCGAACAGAACCUUGACUUCCAGUCAAUCAAUAGAAAAUUCAUAUAUGUAUUAUAGUUAGUUGCAACCGGUCAAUAAUUAGCAACUACAGCCUCUUGUGCCCCUAAAUAAUUAACGCCACCACCACUUUAACAACCACCCACUGGAACCAGAAUUUCUCAAAAGCCUGACACUUUUAACCAGAAUUAAACCGACUAUCAGUAUAUGACUACCACAAGCGACAACGUCGCAAACACCACAAGACAAGAGCAAUAUGAGGAGUCUAUUACACAUCAUCAUCGACCCAAACUUCGAAUGAUGAUUUGCCUGAUCGACCUGCUCUGCUGCAUGUAAUGUAAGCCUCCUAUAUCCUAGCACGGCAUGUGAUAUAUGAAUUAACAUGGUAAGUGGAUAACAGAGUAAGUACAUAACCUAGAGCGGAAACCUCGUUCUCUUUAAUUUAAAAUUGGUGGUUUCUUACAUGCAAGCCCAUUCUGUAGCUCUAUAACUACAUCAAUUUAGAAAAAUCUUACACUGGAUCCGGUAGGCAUAGAAGCCUACUCGUGCUUACCAUCAUUUAGAUUAAAAAGAUGGGGAGGUUGUGCAAUUUCCUGAUGUACUAAUCAUCUAAUACAAAUAACCAAUGCAUCAAAAACCUCUUUUACGUGGACCAUAUAGAACAACAAGAGAUGGGAUAGUGACACUACAGAAUAAAUUGCCGGCAGUGGAGAUCAGUGGCAUGCCUGGAAUCCUUAGGUUGCAGGAGUAAGCGGGGUUGUCAGUUCAGCUGGUCAGGAUCUCUCCAAACCCCCGUUGAACGCCGAUGGAAACUUUAGAAGCAUUUAGGCAGUAAAGGUGACAUCCCAACACCUUUCCGUUGAUGUCUUGCCUACAAAAUCACACUCAGGCAUCACAUCAUGUAAUACAUGUUGUUAUUAAAUGUUGAAUAAAUAAACACUUGCCUUCCUUGGAAACUAAACACUAACCUAUGUAGUUGAAAAAAACUCAAAAAAAAAGAAAUGAAGAUUAUAGACAAAGUGAACUAUAUCUAUCACCAAGCAAAAUAACUGAAGUGGAGGGCUGCUUGAUAUAGCAGAGCAUCAACGACGUGUGCCUCGACCAGGAGUGGAGGGGGAGGAAGUUAGAUGAACAGAUGGAAGGGCAUGGAGAGAGGAAGCACCUAAACAUGGGAAGAGGGGCGCCACCAUGGCUAGGGUCACACCAGCGCAUUUUCACGGCAGAGCACAAAUUCAAUGACCCACACUAACUAUCAAGAACCUAAAAGCAUGCAGCAACGUGCUAUCUCAUUUACCACAACAGAAAAAUAAAAAACUCUCCAAGAUAACUAAAUCUAUUUUAACCCACAUCUCUCAUCAGAUCCAUAUAUUACAACCUCAAGACGACUGAAUCCGUUUUAGCAUUCAUCCCUCACAAGAUCCAUUGAUUCGUCAAAUAACACCAAUCAAAAGGAACACAAUUGAAACAACAACACACCUCCUGGACAGGUCCUAAUUAUCAGAUGGCAAAAACAACUCCAAGACAACAUAAUAUAUUUUAGCCCUCAGCUCUCACCAGAUCCAUAUACUACAACUCCAAGACAUCUGAAUUUAUUCUAGCUGUCAUCUCUCAGAAGAUCCAUUUAUUAUUCCAAAAGUACUAACCAAAAGAGGGGAAAAACAGUAAAGCACCUCCUAGGCAGGCCUAAUUAUUAUAUAACCUCAAGAACUCAAUUUCUCUAUUUUACAAAACCAUAUGGAUCCAAGAACUCCAUUCCUCUGUUUUAGGCUCUGGCCGUCAGCAAUUCCAUUUAUUCUUCAAAAAUAUCAAUCAAAAAGGGCACACUAAAACACUAAAGCAUUUCUAGGAAUAGUACUCAUCACACAACCCCAAGAAACUUGGCAGGCCUAACUCUUUCCUACACAACAAAGCCAUAUUUCAUUAAGAACACAGCUAGAUCCAAUGUGCAGCCGCAUAAUAAGCAAUCAACAGAACAAGACAAAUAUAAAUAUCCCAUUCCUUGGAACCUAGCUAGACCGAAAGCAGCAAAACCACCAACACUCCACCAACAAAGGAGCAGCAAUUACAGGCCCUACCAGGACCAUACAAAGAAGAAAAGACAUAAAUCUAUACCGCACCAAAAACAACCAAUGGCACCUUUGGCCUUUACCAGAGGCAAGACAAACAACAAAAGGCCCUUGCCGGCCAAACACAUGGUCAAGCCUAAAAGAGCCCUUGGCCAUGCCGCUGUAUGCCUAGCACUCUAACAGAAGAGUAC